RNAcentral lists this ribosomal RNA (633 nucleotides) under uncultured Achromobacter sp. RNAcentral describes it as "bacterial SSU rRNA". It matches the Rfam family "Bacterial small subunit ribosomal RNA", at positions 157 to 785 of the family's 1533-position model. Lineage: Bacteria; Pseudomonadati; Pseudomonadota; Betaproteobacteria; Burkholderiales; Alcaligenaceae. The record is from RNAcentral.
GCGUAGCUAAUACCGCAUACGCCCUACGGGGGAAAGCAGGGGAUCGCCAGACCUUGCACUAAUAGAGCGGCCGAUAUCGGAUUAGCUAGUUGGUGGGGUAACGGCUCACCAAGGCGACGAUCCGUAGCUGGUUUGAGAGGACGACCAGCCACACUGGGACUGAGACACGGCCCAGACUCCUACGGGAGGCAGCAGUGGGGAAUUUUGGACAAUGGGGGAAACCCUGAUCCAGCCAUCCCGCGUGUGCGAUGAAGGCCUUCGGGUUGUAAAGCACUUUUGGCAGGAAAGAAACGUCAUGGGCUAAUACCCCGUGAAACUGACGGUACCUGCAGAAUAAGCACCGGCUAACUACGUGCCAGCAGCCGCGGUAAUACGUAGGGUGCAAGCGUUAAUCGGAAUUACUGGGCGUAAAGCGUGCGCAGGCGGUUCGGAAAGAAAGAUGUGAAAUCCCAGAGCUUAACUUUGGAACUGCAUUUUUAACUACCGAGCUAGAGUGUGUCAGAGGGAGGUGGAAUUCCGCGUGUAGCAGUGAAAUGCGUAGAUAUGCGGAGGAACACCGAUGGCGAAGGCAGCCUCCUGGGAUAACACUGACGCUCAUGCACGAAAGCGUGGGGAGCAAACAGGAUUAGAUAC